AUUGAACGCUGGCGGCAUGCCUUACACAUGCAAGUCGAACGGCAGCACGGAGCUUGCUCUGGUGGCGAGUGGCGAACGGGUGAGUAAUAUAUCGGAACGUACCCUAGAGUGGGGGAUAACGUAGCGAAAGUUACGCUAAUACCGCAUACGAUCUAAGGAUGAAAGUGGGGGAUCGCAAGACCUCAUGCUCGUGGAGCGGCCGAUAUCUGAUUAGCUAGUUGGUAGGGUAAAAGCCUACCAAGGCAUCGAUCAGUAGCUGGUCUGAGAGGACGACCAGCCACACUGGAACUGAGACACGGUCCAGACUCCUACGGGAGGCAGCAGUGGGGAAUUUUGGACAAUGGGCGAAAGCCUGAUCCAGCAAUGCCGCGUGAGUGAAGAAGGCCUUCGGGUUGCAAAGCUCUUUUGUCAGGGAAGAAACGGUGAAAGCUAAUAUCUUUUGCUAAUGACGGUACCUGAAGAAUAAGCACCGGCUAACUACGUGCCGGCAGCCGCGGUAAUACGUAGGGUGCAAGCGUUAAUCGGAAUUACUGGGCGUAAAGCGUGCGCAGGCGGUUUUGUAAGUCUGAUGUGAAAUCCCCGGGCUCAACCUGGGAAUUGCAUUGGAGACUGCAAGGCUAGAAUCUGGCAGAGGGGGGUAGAAUUCCACGUGUAGCAGUGAAAUGCGUAGAUAUGUGGAGGAACACCGAUGGCGAAGGCAGCCCCCUGGGUCAAGAUUGACGCUCAUGCACGAAAGCGUGGGGAGCAAACAGGAUUAGAUACCCUGGUAGUCCACGCCCUAAACGAUGUCUACUAGUUGUCGGGUCUUAAUUGACUUGGUAACGCAGCUAACGCGUGAAGUAGACCGCCUGGGGAGUACGGUCGCAAGAUUAAAACUCAAAGGAAUUGACGGGGACCCGCACAAGCGGUGGAUGAUGUGGAUUAAUUCGAUGCAACGCGAAAAACCUUACCUACCCUUGACAUGGCUGGAAUCCUUGAGAGAUCAGGGAGUGCUCGAAAGAGAACCAGUACACAGGUGCUGCAUGGCUGUCGUCAGCUCGUGUCGUGAGAUGUUGGGUUAAGUCCCGCAACGAGCGCAACCCUUGUCAUUAGUUGCUACGAAAGGGCACUCUAAUGAGACUGCCGGUGACAAACCGGAGGAAGGUGGGGAUGACGUCAAGUCCUCAUGGCCCUUAUGGGUAGGGCUUCACACGUCAUACAAUGGUACAUACAGAGCGCCGCCAACCCGCGAGGGGGAGCUAAUCGCAGAAAGUGUAUCGUAGUCCGGAUUGUAGUCUGCAACUCGACUGCAUGAAGUUGGAAUCGCUAGUAAUCGCGGAUCAGCAUGUCGCGGUGAAUACGUUCCCGGGUCU
RNAcentral lists this ribosomal RNA (1352 nucleotides) under uncultured bacterium. RNAcentral describes it as "bacterial SSU rRNA". It matches the Rfam family "Bacterial small subunit ribosomal RNA", at positions 28 to 1381 of the family's 1533-position model. The record is from RNAcentral.